This 1952-nucleotide ribosomal RNA is filed under the name Escherichia coli Jurua 18/11. RNAcentral describes it as "bacterial LSU rRNA". It matches the Rfam family "Bacterial large subunit ribosomal RNA", at positions 996 to 2925 of the family's 2925-position model. The record is from RNAcentral. Lineage: Bacteria; Pseudomonadati; Pseudomonadota; Gammaproteobacteria; Enterobacterales; Enterobacteriaceae.
UGCUAACGUCCGUCGUGAAGAGGGAAACAACCCAGACCGCCAGCUAAGGUCCCAAAGUCAUGGUUAAGUGGGAAACGAUGUGGGAAGGCCCAGACAGCCAGGAUGUUGGCUUAGAAGCAGCCAUCAUUUAAAGAAAGCGUAAUAGCUCACUGGUCGAGUCGGCCUGCGCGGAAGAUGUAACGGGGCUAAACCAUGCACCUAAGCUGCGGCAGCGGCGCUUAUGCGUUGUUGGGUAGGGGAGCGUUCUGUAAGCCUGUGAAGGUGUGCUGUGAGGCAUGCUGGAGGUAUCAGAAGUGCGAAUGCUGACAUAAGUAACGAUAAAGCGGGUGAAAAGCCCGCUCGCCGGAAGACCAAGGGUUCCUGUCCAACGUUAAUCGGGGCAGGGUGAGUCGACCCCUAAGGCGAGGCCGAAAGGCGUAGUCGAUGGGAAACAGGUUAAUAUUCCUGUACUUGGUGUUACUGCGAAGGGGGGACGGAGAAGGCUAUGUUGGCCGGGCGACGGUUGUCCCGGUUUAAGCGUGUAGGCUGGUUUUCCAGGCAAAUCCGGAAAAUCAAGGCUGAGGCGUGAUGACGAGGCACUACGGUGCUGAAGCAACAAAUGCCCUGCUUCCAGGAAAAGCCUCUAAGCAUCAGGUAACAUCAAAUCGUACCCCAAACCGACACAGGUGGUCAGGUAGAGAAUACCAAGGCGCUUGAGAGAACUCGGGUGAAGGAACUAGGCAAAAUGGUGCCGUAACUUCGGGAGAAGGCACGCUGAUAUGUAGGUGAAGUCCCUCGCGGAUGGAGCUGAAAAUCAGUCGAAGAUACCAGCUGGCUGCAACUGUUUAUUAAAAACACAGCACUGUGCAAACACGAAAGUGGACGUAUACGGUGUGACGCCUGCCCGGUGCCGGAAGGUUAAUUGAUGGGGUCAGCGCAAGCGAAGCUCUUGAUCGAAGCCCCGGUAAACGGCGGCCGUAACUAUAACGGUCCUAAGGUAGCGAAAUUCCUUGUCGGGUAAGUUCCGACCUGCACGAAUGGCGUAAUGAUGGCCAGGCUGUCUCCACCCGAGACUCAGUGAAAUUGAACUCGCUGUGAAGAUGCAGUGUACCCGCGGCAAGACGGAAAGACCCCGUGAACCUUUACUAUAGCUUGACACUGAACAUUGAGCCUUGAUGUGUAGGAUAGGUGGGAGGCUUUGAAGUGUGGACGCCAGUCUGCAUGGAGCCGACCUUGAAAUACCACCCUUUAAUGUUUGAUGUUCUAACGUUGACCCGUAAUCCGGGUUGCGGACAGUGUCUGGUGGGUAGUUUGACUGGGGCGGUCUCCUCCUAAAGAGUAACGGAGGAGCACGAAGGUUGGCUAAUCCUGGUCGGACAUCAGGAGGUUAGUGUAAUGGCAUAAGCCAGCUUGACUGCGAGCGUGACGGCGCGAGCAGGUGCGAAAAGCAGGUCAUAGUGAUCCGGUGGUUCUGAAUGGAAGGGCCAUCGCUCAACGGAUAAAAGGUACUCCGGGGAUAACAGGCUGAUACCGCCCAAGAGUUCAUAUCGACGGCGGUGUUUGGCACCUCGAUGUCGGCUCAUCACAUCCUGGGGCUGAAGUAGGUCCCAAGGGUAUGGCUGUUCGCCAUUUAAAGUGGUACGCGAGCUGGGUUUAGAACGUCGUGAGACAGUUCGGUCCCUAUCUGCCGUGGGCGCUGGAGAACUGAGGGGGGCUGCUCCUAGUACGAGAGGACCGGAGUGGACGCAUCACUGGUGUUCGGGUUGUCAUGCCAAUGGCACUGCCCGGUAGCUAAAUGCGGAAGAGAUAAGUGCUGAAAGCAUCUAAGCACGAAACUUGCCCCGAGAUGAGUUCUCCCUGACCCUUUAAGGGUCCUGAAGGAACGUUGAAGACGACGACGUUGAUAGGCCGGGUGUGUAAGCGCAGCGAUGCGUUGAGCUAACCGGUACUAAUGAACCGUGAGGCUUAACCUU